This is a long non-coding RNA of Homo sapiens (human), 929 nucleotides long. Lineage: Eukaryota; Metazoa; Chordata; Mammalia; Primates; Hominidae. The record is from Ensembl.
GGGACUGAGUUCUCUAGUAACUGAUGGGAAACAGAGCAAAGUAGGGACUUUAAAAAAUACUGUAACGGUUAAUAUUGAGUGUCAACUUGAUUGGAUUGAAGGAUGCAAAGUAUUGUUCCUGGGUGUGUCUGUGAGGGUGUUGCCAAAGGAGAUUAACAUUCCAGUCAGUGGACUGGGAAAGGCAGACCCACCCUCAAUCUGGGUGGGCACCAUCUAAUCAGCUGCCAGUGUGGCCAGAAUAAAGCAGGAAAAUGUGGAAGGACUUGACUUGCUGAGUCUUCUGGUCUUCAGCUUUCUCCCAUGCUGGAUGCUUCCUGCCUUAGAGCAUUGGACUCCAGGUCUUCAGCUUUUGGACUCUCGGACUUACACCAGUGGUUUGCCAGGGGCUCUCAGGCCUUUGGACACAGACUGAAGGCUGCACUGUCGGCUUCCCUACUUUUGAGGUUUUGGGCUUCCCUACUCCUCAGCUUGCAGAUGGCCUAUUGUGGAACUUUACCCUGUGAUCAUAACUCUUUUUGCCCAACAGAAUGUGGACAGCAGAACUGCUUUAUAAAUUGGGAGGAAGGCACACCUGGAAGAUGGUGAUGCCAGCACAAUGGGAAAUGUGCCAGUGUGUAGAAUUCUUCUCUGGUCUUUGUAAAUAGAAAUGCUCACUUUCUAUGUGAAACACCUAAAUGAUUCGAUGCCAAACGCAGAAUAAGUUUAAAGGUAGAACAAGCAAAUAGCUAAACAAGGGAGUGUUUCAGAAAGGAAAUAUGUCAAGCCUUGGCUCAAAAGCAAAACAGUCUUUUCAUGAAGGGAAGUGUUCACAGCAUCUAUUAAAUGCAUACUCAGUCACAAAAAUAAAACCCAUCUGUUUAAUAUUAACAUUUGUAAUAAACAUUUUAAAAAAAGGAAUGUAGAAGGCAAAAAUGUAUUGUAAAACAAAA